CCUCCCGCUUCCCUCCCUGAGCGGGGCCGUAUCGCUUUUGGUGAUAAGGCAUUGUGCCCUGGAGAUAUUCCCCUUUCUCCAGGGCUUUUUUAU
This is a non-coding RNA of Collimonas arenae, 93 nucleotides long. NCBI's taxonomy places the organism in Bacteria, Pseudomonadati, Pseudomonadota, Betaproteobacteria, Burkholderiales, Oxalobacteraceae. The record is from Rfam.